GCAUUGGGUUUCUUCACUCCGGGGAGUUCCAAGAAUCGUUACUUGGGAAUUUGGUACAAUAACAUCCCCAUGCAAACUGUUGUAUGGGUUGCAAACAGGAUAAAUCCAAUAAAUGACACCACUGGCUUGCUGAAGAUAGAAAGCUCUGGCAGAGUCGUGCUUCUAGGUCAGAACCAAACAACUGUUUGGUCAAUUAAUUCCACAGAAGCAGCUCAGAAUCCGAUUCUGCAGCUCCUGGAUUCAGGCAAUCUUGUUGUCAGAGAUGGAAAAGAUGGUGAUUCAGAGAACUACUUGUGGCAAAGCUUUGAUUAUCCAACUGAUACAAUGUUAGCAGGGAUGAAGAUUGGUUGGGACCUGAGAACUGGUUUAAAUCGAAGACUAUCAGCAUGGAAGAACUCAGAUGAUCCAUCUCCUGGGGACCUUACUUAUGGGGUAGAACUCCAAGGCAAUCCACAGAUGGUGCUGCGGAAAGGCUCAGAAAAGUACUAUCGCAGUGGCCUAUGGAAUGGCAAUGGGUUUAGUGGUGUACCAAAUUUAAGAUCAAAUCCGGUCUUUGAUUACGACUUUGUCUGGAAUAAGGAGGAGGUGUACUACAUAUUUUACCUGAAAAAUAAAUCGGUGAUGUCAAGGUUUGUUUUGAACCAAACUGAAAAGGUAAGACAGCGGUACACAUGGAACCCAGAAACUCAGACUUGGAAGUUGUUUUCAAUCAUGCCAAGUGACUAUUGUGACACACCUGGACUUUGUGGUGCAAAUGGGAACUGCGACAAUUCCAAGCUUCCAGCUUGCCAAUGUUUGAAAGCAUUCAGGCCUAAAUCGCUGGAAAGAUGGAACUCCUCAGACUGGUCUGAAGGGUGUAUACACAAUAAGCCAUUAAACUGUCAAAGGGGAGAUGGAUUUAUUAGAAUUGAGAGGGUGAAAACGCCAGAUACCUCACAUUCUUGGGUGAACAAAAGCAUGAAUCUUAAGGAAUGUAGGGCUAGGUGCUUGCAGAACUGUUCAUGUAUGGCAUACACUAAUUUAGAUAUUAGAGGAGGAGGUAGCGGCUGCGCCAUGUGGUUUGAUGAUCUAAUUGAUAUUAAACAAUUCCAAUCAUUUGGCCAAGAUCUUUACAUCAGAGUGUCUGCUUCAGAAGCAGGUAUCAGUUUAAAAUCGGAACAUAUUCUUGUUAAAGCUUGUGAUAAUUUCUUUUGGAAAUUGUUUAAUUAUAUUUGUGCUCCUUCAACAAUAUUGAUCAUGCAGAACUGAAAAACAAGUCUGAGGCGAAGCUGGCCAUGAUAAUUGCAACGCCAAUUGCUGUGUUCUUGGGGCUUCUUGUAGUCAUAUAUUACAUCCGGAGAAGGAGGAGAAAAUUAGAAGGUAAUAUCAACCAUGGUCCUCAUAAAGCAGGGGAAAGUUGGUAUUUGCUAUCAAAAUCAAUUUCGCCAACAGCAGCGCUAUCAAAUCCCUGCCCUGUUUUCAAGAAAACAGUAAUACUGAAAUUUGCCAUUUCAUUAUAUUCCUUAUCAAAUUUGAUAAUAGAUGGUUUUUAAUUUUGUUUUAUGAUCUGACAAAAAAGAGAGUCCAUGAACAAUUGGUUGGAUACUUUUGGUUUUGGUGUUCAGAAGAAGCAUACAGCUUUUGUUCUUCUCUCUAAAUCUAUCAAUAUGCAUAAGAAAGCCCAUUUCUAUGUUGAAUGCUAGCCUAUUUUGACUACUGUUUCAGAUGAAGUUGAAGAAAGGAUUGAAAAUGACCAAAAGAACCAAGGCCGGAGUGAAGAUAUGGACCUUGCUGUAUUCGAGCUUGGUACGAUAGCCAGAGCUACAGAUAGUUUUUCUUUUCAUAACAAGCUAGGUGAAGGAGGUUUUGGACCUGUUUAUAAGGUAAAGUUGACAGCAUAUUACUACAAUGAUCUCAAUUACAGAGAAUUCAUCUUCCUUGAAAGCUCAUCAAAAUGUUCUUAUUCUCCAGGGGACACUUGCAAAUGGACAAGAAAUUGCUGUGAAAAGACUUUCAAAGAGUUCCGGACAAGGAUUGAACGAGUUUAAAACUGAAGUAAAGUUGAUUGCCAAACUUCAGCAUCGGAAUCUUGUAAGGCUUCUUGGGUGCUGCAUUCAUGGAGAGGAGAAAAUGCUGGUUUAUGAAUACAUGCCUAACAGAAGUCUUGACUCAUUUAUUUUUGGUCAGAAACCUUUCAAUUUUAUAUUGUCUGCUCUCGGCUUAUGAAAUAGUUUUCUUUUGCUGCUUCAAAGGAUCAAAUAGAUAUAGAAUUAACAUGAAUGCAGUAUUUGACAGAUCAAAGAAGAUGCAAAGUAUUAGAUUGGCCCAAGCGUUUCCAAAUUAUCUGUGGGAUUGCUAGGGGACUCCUUUACCUUCAUCAAGAUUCCAGAUUGAGGAUUAUUCAUAGAGAUCUGAAAGCUAGUAAUGUUCUACUUGAUAGUGAGAUGAACCCAAAAAUUUCAGAUUUUGGCAUGGCAAGAACUUUUGGAGGAGACCAGACUGAAGCCAAUACAAACAGAGUGGUUGGAACUUAGUAAGUCUACUUUUUCUGCAAAUUUGAUCUAUAGAUCCCCAUGAAAAUGCAUACUUUUAUCUGACAAUGUCCUGCAGUGGUUAUAUGGCACCAGAAUAUGCUAUCGAUGGCCUGUUUUCGGUAAAAUCAGAUGUGUUUAGCUUUGGCAUAUUGUUGUUGGAGAUAAUAAGUGGAAGAAAGAAUAGAGGAUUCUAUCAUAAAAAUCAAAGCGGCAACCUUAUUGAACAUGUAAGCCUCAUUGUCAUUAUUUUUUAUUACAUAUCUUGAAUUGAUGAAUGAUAAAAGAAUUUCUUUUUGCUGCAGGCAUGGAGAUUAUGGAAAGAAGGCAAGCCUUUGAAUCUUGCUGAUGAUUUCUUAGCAGAGACUGGCAGUCUAUCACAGGUGUUACGAUGCAUCCACAUUAGCCUUUUAUGUGUACAGCAGCAUCCUGAGGGGAGGCCAAGCAUGUCAUCCGUGGUUCUGAUGUUGGGAAGUGAGAAUGAAUUGCCUCUGCCCAAACAACCUGGUUUUUUGUUUCACAAGAGUCCAUUUGAAGCAGAUUCUUCAUCCGGUAACCAUGGAUCAUCUUCGAAAAACGAAAUAAGUUUAUCAGUUUUAGAGGCUCGAUAGAGGGUGAUAUGCUUCAUUAAACCUAUUAUGCUCCAAACUAUCAGUAAUGAUUCCAAUCCCACUUGAUGUUCGGGGCAUGUGCUUUUGGACCAAAUGCUAGUGAGAAAUGUUUUAAAAAUCAACAUGCAAUCAAGUACAAAUAUUAGUGUUGCAUUUAUUCCGUGGAUAGGUAGAUUGAAGGACCAAACUAAAGCUUCAUACAGUUCAGAUAUAACUGAAGCUUCAUACGGUUAAGAUGUACAAAUUUCAUGCAAUCUCAUCACUUACAAGUUGCUGACUUCUCUUGUUUUCUACUGCAUUUGUGUAAGAUCAAGAGCCACCUAAUCUAGCCGGCUUGGGAACCUCAAUAUGAGUGUUAAUUAAUUAGUGUGAUAAAUGAAUCAACAAACUAGCUUCAUUGUCUCUACAUUAUUCUGUGCAUAAUCAAACCUGUGUCAUCAACAACAAGAAAAUAUCAUUCAUGACUAGGAUUCCUCAGUUCCUUUGCUUGACUCCAGAAGUGAACUUAGUACCAUGAGACUGUAACCUCUUUUUGGGGCGCAAACGAAUGAACUUCACAUACAAGAUUAGUCAAGCUAAGUAUCAAUUAGAACUUUAAUAGAGGCUACAGAUUCCAGGUUGAAAGAAGCUGGUGAGGUCUUCAACAAAGAUAUGUUGCAGUUUUAAGGCUGUACAGUUUUCAUCUUCAUCUUUGUUUGGUCGUGGUCCAACCCCUUUGCUUAUGGGGGCUUCGACAGGCGUUGGACGACACGUUGAUGAGGCUGUCAGGGCGCCUUAAAACAAAAAGAAAAGGGAGAGCGUCCUCAUUGUACGUGACUGACACCUGAUACGAGGUUGGCUUUGUCCGGUUUCAGACAGAUUUGGUGGGCCCAACACGUUGGCAACAUUAUCAAACGCGAGAGUGAUAAUAGAUUGGCAAAAUGAAGAACACAUCUCUCACGGAUCCACUUCAGUGAGAUAUGGUGAGGGUCUUACGAUUAUAAAUAUAAAAUUUUUACUAUUUAUUAGAUAUAUUUUUUGAUUUGAUAACAUGAUAUUGUAAUUUAUAAAUUUAGAGAUGUCAACUGGUAGGAUAUUCGUUAAUUUUGAGAUACUAAAAUCUGAAUUCGAUUAAAAAAUAAAAUACCCAAACUCGAUAAUUACCUGAAUUUUUUUUAAAUUUACUAUCCUAACUCAAAUCCUAAUACAUAAUCACUACCCGAUAAUUACUCGAACCCGUUUAAAAAUCUGAUUAUGUAAAAAAUUAUUAAAAUACUCUUUAUAGAUACCCAAUUACCCAAACUCAAAUCUGUACCUGUAUCUAUAUACAAUAAUAUUUUUAUUCAUAUUUUAUAUAAUUCACCAAUAAUUAAAUUUAUAAAAGCACAUAAAUAAUAAAAUUUAAAUUUAAAUAAUCAAAAACAAAUAUCUCAAAUAUCAACUUAAAUAAUUAAAAACAAAUAUUAAACUACAACUUAAACAUUACAAGUUUAAUUAACUAUGUGGGUUUAUCCAUGAAAUUAAAAAAAAUAAUUAUAUUCCAAAAUUAUUCUAAUCUUAUAAUUUCUUUUUAGGUAUAUAUUUUAUAAGUUUAUAUACACAAAAGUAUAUAUUAUAAAUAAUAAUUUUAUAAGUUAUAUUUUCUAUAAUGUUAAUACAAUAUAGCAAGUAAACAUGUUUAUAUUUAAAGUAUAUAUACAAUAGUAAUUGUAUUCUUCAUAAAUUAACACAAUAUAUAAAAUAUAUGUAUUAAAAGAUAUUACAAGUUAAUUAAUAAUCAUAGUUUUAUGAAUUAAUUUAAUUAAUAAUAUGAAUUUGUCUUGAAUUACAUAAAAUUAAAAAAAUAUAUAAUCAGAUUCGGGUAUCGGGUAUCCAAAGGGUGAUAUUUGAACCCUACCUGAACCCGAUACAUGUAUUUUAGGGUACUUUAACUUUAUACAAUCAGAUCAGGUACUCGUAAGUACCCUGUAACAGGAUACCUAUAGACAUCCCUAUAUAAACUUACUUAAAUUUAUUAUUCUUAAUUUUUUAAAUACAUUUUUAUUACCCAUAAACUGUUUAUUAAGUUUACGACUCAUAAGUAUUUACAAACUUACAAUAAUAUAAUAAUUACGGUAAAAUAAUUUUUUUUAUCAUUAAAUUAAAAGUUUUAAUGAUGCAACUUGUCUAUUUCUUUUUGAACAUUAUGAAACUCAUAAAAAUAUUAUUAUUAUCAUCAUAGUCUUAGUUGAAAAUGAUGGUCAACAUCUAAAAAAAAGUGAUUAUCUUCUAGAAAAAGAAUUGCCUCUGCCCAAACAACCUGGUUUUUGGUUUCACAAGAGUCCCUUUGAAGCAAAUUCUACAUCAGGCAACUGCAGAUCAUCUUCUAGAAACGAAAAAAGUCUAUCAAUGUUAGAGGCUCGAUAGAGAGUGGUAUGCUUCAUUAAACCUAUUAUGCUCCAAACCAUCAGUAAUGACUCCAAUCCCACUUGAUGUUUGGGGCAUGUGCUUUUAGAGCCAAUGCUAGUGAGAAAUGUUUCAGAAAUCAAACAUGCAAUCAAGUAUAAAUAGUAGUGUUUUGUUUAUUUCAUUUUGCUGCAGGCAUGGAGAUUAUGGAAAGAAGGCAAGCCUUUGAAUCUUGCUGAUGAUUUCUUAGCAGACACUGGCAGUCUAUCACAGGUGUCACGAUGCAUCCACAUUAGCCUCUUAUGUGUACAACAGCAUCCUGAGGAGAGGCCAAGCAUGUCAUCCGUGGUUCUGAUGUUGGGAAGUGAAAAUGAAUUGCCUCUGCCCAAACAACCUGGUUUUUUGUUUCACAAUAGUCCCUUUGAAGUAGAUUCUUCAUCAGGCAACUAUAAAUCAUCUUCGAAAAACGAAAUAAGUCUAUCAAUGUUAGAGGCUCGAUAGAGGGUGGUAUGCUUCAUUAAACCUAUUAUGCUCCAAUCCCACUUGAUGUUUGGGGCAUGUGCUUUUAGAGCCAAUGCUAGUGAGAAAUGUUACAGAAAUUAAACAUGCAAUGAAGUAUAAAUAGUGGUGUUUUGUUUAUUUCAUGGAUAGAUAAGAUUGAAGGGCCAAACUGAAGCUUCAUACAGUUAACAUAUACAAAUUCCAUGCAAUCUCAUCAUUUACAAGUUUUUGACUUAUCUUGUUUUCGGCUGCAUUUAUGUAAUAUCAAACGUAAGAGUGAUAAUAGAUUGGCAAAAUCAUGAACACAUCACUCAAGGUCAGGGGAGGGGGAUUUGGCAAAAUUAUGAAGUGGUACUAGCAAUUUUAGGAAUGGGCCGGCAUGCUUAAUGAGCUUGUAGUGGACUAUCAAUUUUCUAAUGGGCUUAUUGUGGAUCAAGGCAUGUUCUAAUGGGCUUCUAUUGGACAACAAAUAUUGAUUUUUUUUUAUUAUGGAGGGUUUAUUGAUGGUUUUUUUUGGAAUGGAUUUAUUUAUACAUAAUUACAUAUAUAUUGUAUUUAAGAAAACAAAUAAAAUUUUGAAUUUCCAUAUUACUUUUAUUCUUAAUCUUUUAAAUGUAUUUUUACUAUUCACAAACUAAUUAUUAUAUUUAUGACUCAUAAAUGUAUACAAACUAACAACGACAUAACAAUCACUGUAAAAUAUUUUUUAUUCAUGAUUAAAUCAAAAACUUUAAUGAUACAACUUGUCUAUUUCUUUUUCAACAUAAUGAAAGUCAUAAAAAUAUUAUCAUCAUAGUCAUAGUUGAAAAUGAUGGUCAACAUUUAAAAAAAAAAGUGAUUAUCUUUUUUUUAAUUAAAGUAAUAGUAGAAGUAGUCAUUGGCACGUGAGUAAAAUAGCAUAAUUAACUAGCAGAUGCUUCCGGCUUGAUGCUACUUUCAGCUUGAUUUUGUCAUAACAAUAAUGUUGCCUUAAUAAUUAGUAAUUAUGUCAUUCACCAUGUAUUUUUGUUGGUUUUUGAAAGUUCUCUUUAGAUUUGCUGGCAUGACUUCAAAAUUAUAUAUAAUUAAAUAAUAUAUAUAAAUAUAUAUGUAUAAUAUUGUUUUAAAGAAGAAAAAGAAAGGAAAAUGGAGUUCUAUGUGCCAAAAAAUUGAUUUUAUUUGUUGAAUCAAAUAAAAAAUAAUUAAAUGUAUAAUUGAUAAAUCGUGUAUAAAAUUUUAAAAAAGAGAGUAUAUCUAUUAAUUAGAAAUAAUAAUUGAUUAUAUAAAUAUGUGAUUAAUUUUAAUUGAUUAACUAUUUUAAAUUAAUUACAUUAAUGAAUUAACUAAUUAAUUAGUUAAUUAAAUUAAUUAACUAACUAAUUUAUUUAUAAAAUAAUUUAAAUUAAUUAAUUUAAUUCUUUAAAACUUAACUAAUUUACUAAAAAUAAAUAUUUAGUAAUUUCACAUAUUUUAAUAUAUAAAUAUUUAGUAUUUAAAUAUUAGGUUAGUUUUGUCAUGCUAUUAUUUAUUAUUUUAAGGGAUAAAGUUGAAAAAUUAAAAAUUUACAUUAAAAAAAGGUAAGUUUGAAAAUAUAAAGGGAAUUUUUUAAAUUUACAUUACAUUCUCAUACUUCCAAACCAAAGACUACCAUCUAAUCUUCCCAACAAUUAUAUUACAUGCAAUCAUCAUUUUUCUAUGAUAUAUAAAACAUUCUAAAGUUUUUUUCAUCCAUCAUAUUCCCUGCAAUUAUCAUAUUUUUAUAUUAUACAAAACGUUGCAAAGUUCUUCUCAUUCAUCAUAUUCCCUGCAAUCAUCACUUUUUCAUAUUAUAUCAAUGUUGCAAAAUUCUUCUCAUCAAUAACAUUCUCAGUAAUCAAAUUAUUAACAAUUACAUUUUCAAUAAAAUAUAUAAAAAAAAAACACGGUUUAUACUAUCAAGAACAAACUAAUUAACAUGAAAAUAGGGGAAAUUGACACGAAGUCAAUUCCAUCGGACCCUUAGGACUUGUGAUUGCAAUUUUUUGUAAAUUCAGCCUAAAAGUAUAGGAAGACUUGACUUUUUGGUAAUCAUGUCGACUUCAUAAUGGUUAUUGAGAAGAAAAAAUCUCCCUGACGUACGUUUUUUUUAAGUCUAGAGAUGCAUGUUUACUUAAUUACUUGCACGUUGAGUGGUCUUGGUUUAAGUCAUAGUCUUACGGUCUAGUAGUGUACAAUGAAAUUAAUUUUAGAGGUUACUUUAUGAUAAAACCUAAGUGUAAAGUUCCCUGAUUUUUUUGUGUAACAAAGAAUUUUAGCAUCUUCGGUUUACUGAAACAGUUGGGAGCUCUACAUUAAGCUAGGGCGGACAAGAAUAUUCUGUUUCAUGGUUUUUUAAACUUUAAGUUACUUAACUGCAACUUAUUUCAGUUCCUAUUUCUCAAUAAUCUUAACUUCACAGCCAUCAUGUUAGUUAAAGAUAUUUCCAUCUCCAGGAAGAAGUUGAGGCCUAUAGAAUAGUUGUCGUCUCUGUCACGAUUGAUGAAGAAUUUCAAGGUCAAUGGACCCAAAGUCUUGCCUUGAAGCCUGAAGGUCAAUGCUGUUUAGAAUGUUCAAUCAAAUGGCAUCUAUUCUUAUCUUCAAAGCAAAAAGCUUUCAGACUAUACAUCCAUGGACAUGGAUAUCCUUUCUUUCAGUGCUUGUUUCCUCAUCAUCUUCACCAAAGCUUCCAGCGCACCCGACAGGAUUUCUCCGUCUGAGUCACUCACUGAUGGCACGACCUUGGUCUCUAGUGAUGGAAGCUUUGUAUUGGGUUUCUUCACUCCGGGGAGUUCUAAGAAUCGUUACUUGGGAAUUUGGUACAAUAACAUCCCCAUGCAAACUGUUGUAUGGGUUGCAAACAGGAUAAAUCCGAUAAAUGACACCACUGGCUUGCUGCAGAUAGAAAGCACUGGCAGAGUCGUGCUUCUAGGUCAGAACCAAACAACUGUUUGGUCAAUUAAUUCCACAGAAGCAGCUCAGAAUCCGAUUCUGCAGCUCCUGGAUUCAGGCAAUCUUGUUGUCAGAAAUGGAAAAGAUGGUGAUUCAGAGAACUACUUGUGGCAAAGCUUUGAUUAUCCAACUGAUACAAUGUUACCGGCGAUGAAGAUUGGUUGGGACCUGAGAACUAAUUUAAAUCGAAGACUAGCAGCAUGGAAGAACUCAGAUGAUCCAUCUCCUGGGGACCUUACUUAUGGGGUGGAACUCCAAGGCAAUCCAGAGGUGGUGCUGCGGAAAGGCUCAGAAAAGUACCAUCGCAGUGGCCUCUGGAAUGGCGAUGGAUUUAGUGGUGCACAAAAUUUAAGAUCAAAUCCGGUCUAUGAGUACGACUUUGUCUGGAAUGAGGAGGAGGUGUACUACAUAAAUUACCUCAAAAAUAAAUCGGUGAUGUCAAGGUUAGUUUUGAACCAAACUGAAAAGGUUAGACAGCGGUACACAUGGAACCCAGAAACUCAAACUUGGAUGUUGAUUUCCAUCAUGCCAAGUGACUGUUGUGACAUACUUGGACUUUGUGGUGCAAAUGGGAACUGCGAUAAUUCCACGCUUCCAGCUUGCCAAUGUUUGAAAGCAUUCAGGCCUAAAUCGCUGGAAAGAUGGAACUCCUUAGACUGGUCUGAAGGGUGUAUACACAAUAAGCCAUUAAACUGCCAAAGCGGAGAUGGAUUUAUUAGAAUUGAGAGGGUGAAAACGCCAGAUACCUCACAUUCUUGGGUGAGCAAAAGUAUGAAUCUCGAGGAAUGCAGGGCUAAGUGCUUGCAGAACUGUUCUUGUAUGGCAUACACUAAUUUAGAUAUUAGAGGAGGAGGUAGCGGCUGCGCCAUGUGGUUUGGUGAUCUAAUUGAUAUUAAACAAUUUCAAUCAUUUGGCCAGGAUCUUUACAUCAGAGUCUCUGCUUCAGAAGCAGGUAUCAGUUUAAAAUCGGAACAUUUUCUUGUUACAGCUUGUGAUAAUUUCUUUUGGAAAUUGUUUAAUUAUACUUGGGCUCCUUCAUCAAUAAUGAUCAUGCAGAACUGAAAAACAAGGCUAAGGCGAAGCUGGCCGUGAUAAUUGCAACACCAAUUGCUAUGUUCUUGGGGCUUCUUGUAGUCAUUUAUUACAUCCGGAGAAGGAGAAGAAAAUUAGAAGGUAAUAUCAACUAUGGUCCUCAUUAAAGCAGGGGAAAGUUGGUAUUUGAUACAAAUACCAAAAUCGUUUCUGCUCACAGCACCGCUAUCAGAUCCCUGCCCUGUUUUCAAGAAAACAGUAAUACUAAAAUUUGUCAUUUCUCUUAUCAAAUUUGAUAAUACAUGGUUUUCAAUUUUGUUUUAUGAUCUGACAAAAAAGUGAGUCCAUGAACAAUUGGUUCGAUAUUUUUGGUUUUGGUGUUCAGAAGAAGCAUACAGCUUUUGUCUAUCUAAAUCUAUCAAUAUGCAUGAGAAAGCGUAUCUCUGUGUUGAAUGCUAGCCUAUUUUGACUACUGUUUCAGAUGAAGUUAAAGAAAGGAUUUUAAAUGAUCAAAAGAACCAAGGCCAGAGUGAAGAUAUGGAGCUUGCUGUAUUCGAGCUAGCUACGAUAGCCAGAGCUACUGGUAGUUUUUCUUUUAAUAACAAGCUAGGUGAAGGAGGUUUUGGACCUGUUUAUAAGGUAAAAGUAAGCACAUAUUACUAAAGUGAUCUCAAGCACGGAGAAUUCAUCUUUAUUGAAAGCUCAUCAAAAUAUUCCUAGUCUCCAGGGGACACUUGCAAAUGGACAAGAAAUUGCUGUGAAAAGACUUUCAAAGAGUUCCGGACAAGGAUUGAACGAGUUUAAAACUGAAGUAAAGUUGAUUGCCAAACUUCAGCAUCGGAAUCUUGUAAGGCUUCUUGGGUGCUGCAUUCAUGGAGAGGAGAAAAUGCUGGUUUAUGAAUACAUGCCUAACAGAAGUCUUGACUCAUUUAUUUUUGGUCAGAAACCUUUCAAUUUUAUAUUGUCUGCUCUCGGCUUGUGAAAUAGUUUUCUUUUGCUGCUUCAAAGGAUCAAAUAGAUAUAGAAUUAACAUGAAGGCAGUACUUGACAGAUCAAAGAAGGUGCAAAGUAUUAGAUUGGCCCAAGCGUUUCCAAAUUAUCUGUGGGAUUGCUAGGGGACUACUCUACCUUCAUCAAGAUUCCAGAUUGAGGAUUAUUCAUAGAGAUCUAAAAGCUAGUAAUGUUUUGCUUGAUAGUGAGAUGAACCCAAAAAUUUCAGAUUUUGGCAUGGCAAGACUUUUGGAGGAGACCAGACUGAAGCCAAUACCAACAGAGUGGUUGGAACUUAGUAAGUCUACUUUUUCUGCAAAUUUGAUCUAUAAAUGCCCAUGAAACUCUUAUCUGACAAUGUUUUGCAGUGGUUAUAUGGCACCAGAAUAUGCUAUCGAUGGGCUGUUUUCGGUAAAAUCAGAUGUGUUUAGCUUUGGCAUAUUGUUGUUGGAGAUAAUAAGUGGAAGAAAGAAUAGAGGAUUAUAUCAUCAAAAUCAAAAUGGCAACCUUAUUGAACAUGUAAGCCUGAUUGUCAUUAUCUUUUAUUACAUAUUUUGAACCGAUGAAUGAUAAAAGAAUUUCAUUUUGCUGCAGGCAUGGAGAUUAUGGAAAGAAGGCAGGCCUUUGGAUCUUGUUGAUGAGUUCUUAGCAGAGACCGGCAGUCUAUCACAGGUGUUACGAUGCAUCCACAUUAGCCUUUUUUGUGUACAACAACAUCCUAAGGAGAGGCCAAGCAUGUCAUCCGUGGUUCUGAUGUUGGGAAGUGAAAAUGAAUUGCCUCUGCCCAAACAACCUGGUUUUUGGUUUCACAAGAGUCCCUUUGAAGCAGAUUCUACAUCAGGCAACUACAAAUCAUCUUCUAGAAACGAAAUAAGUCUAUCAAUGUUAGAGGCUCGAUAGAGGGUGGUAUGCUUCAUUAAACCUAUUAUGCUCCAAACCAUCAGCAAUGACUCCAAUCCCACUUGAUGUUUGGGGCAUGUGCUUUUAGAGCCACUGCUAGUGAGAAAUGUUUCAGAAAUCAAACAUGCAAUUAAGCAUAAAUAGUAGUGUUUUGUUUAUUUCAUGGAUAGAUAGAUUGAAGGGCCGAACUGAAGCUUCAUACGGUUAACAUAUACAAAUUCCAUGCAAUCUCAUCAUUUACAAGUUUUUAAUUUAUCUUGUUUUCUGCUGCAUUUAUGUAAUAUCAAGGGCCAGCUAACCUUGUCAACUUGAAAAAUGAUAAUAUUAAUGCAUGAUGAGCCCAUCUUUGCCCUUAAUAUACCAAGUGAGAUAAAUGAAUCAACAAACUAACAUCAUUGUCUCGAUAUCAUUUUGUGCAUAAUCAAACAUUUGUUAUCAACAACAAAAAAAGAUCAUUCAUAAUUCAGGGAUUGCUCAGGUCCUUUUGCUUAAAUCCAGAAGCGGCUUAGUACUAUGAGACUGUAACCUCUUUUUGGGGCACAAAGGAAUGGACUUCACAAGAUUGGUCAAGCUAACUAGCAACUAGAUCUUUAACAGAGGCUAGGGAUUCCAAGGCUAUAGAGUUUCAUCUUCAUCUUUGUUUCAUCGUAGUCCAACUCUUUGGUUAUAGGGGCUUCAAAGGCGUUGGAAGACGUAACGAUCAGGCUGUCAGGGCUUCGCAAAACAAAAAGAAAAGGGAAGAGCACGUUGAUUGUACGUGACUGACAGGUGAUACGAGGUUGGCUUUGCCCUGUUCCAGACAAAGAUUUGGUGGGCCCAACACGUUGGCAAUAAUAUCAAACCUAAGAGUGAUAAUAGAUUGGCAAAACCAUGAACACAUCACUCAUCGCUCAGGGGAGGGGGAUUUGGAAAAAAUUAUGAAGUGGUACCAGCAAUUUUAGGCAUGGGCCGACAUGCUUAAUGGGCUUGUAGUGGACUAGCAAUUUUCUAAUGGGCUUAUUGUGGAUCAAGGACUGUUCUAAUGGGCUUCUAUUGGACAACAAAUGUUGGUUUUUUUUUUGGAAUGGAUUUAUUUAUACAUAAUUACAUAUAUAUUGUAUUUAAGAAAACAAAUGAAAUUUUGAAUUUCCACAUUACUUUUAUUCAUAAUUUUUUAAAUACAUUUUUACUAUCGCAAACCGUUUAUUAUGUUCACUACUCAUAAAUAUAUACAAACUUACAACGACAUAAUAAUUAUUGUAAAACAUUUUUUAUUCAUGAUUAAAUCAAAAUUUUAAUGAUACAGCUUGUCUAUUUCUUUUUCAACAUAAUGAAACUCAUAAAAAUAUUAUUAUUAUUAUCAUCAUAGUCAUAGUUGAAAAUGCUGGUCAACAUUUCAAAAAAAAAGUGAUUAUCUUUUUGUUAAUUAAAGUAAUAGUAAAAUAUCAAGAAACACGGUUUAUCCUAUUAAGAACAAACUAAUUAACAUGAAAAUAGGAAAAAUUCACACGAAGUCAACCCUAUCGGACCCUUGGAAUUUUGAUUGCAAUUUCUUGUAAAUUCAGCCUAAAAGUAUAGGAAGACUUGACUUUUUGAUAAUCAUGUCGACUUCAUAAUAGUUAUUGAGAAGAAAAGAUCUCCAUGAGGGACGUUUUUUUUAAGUCUAGAGAUGCAUGUUUACUUAAUUACUUGCACGUUGAGUGGUCUUGGUUUAAUUACUUAAUUACAGUCUAGUAGUGUACAAUGAAAUUAUUUUUAGGGGUUACUUUAUGAUAAAAUCAAGUGUAAAGUUCCCUGAUUUUUUUGUGUAACAAAGAAUUUUAGCAUCUUUAGUUUACUGAAACAGUUGGGAGCUCUACAUUAAGCUAGGGCAGACAAGAAUAUUCUGUUUCAUGGUUUUUUAAACUUAACUGCAACUUAUUUCAGUUCCUAUGUCUCAAUAAUCUUAACUUCACAGCCAUCAUGUUAGUUAAAGAUAUUGCUAUCUCCAAGAAGAAGUUGUGGCCUAUAGAAUAGUUGUAGUCUCUGUCACGAUUGAUGAAGAAUUCCAAGGUCAGUGGACCCAAAGUCUUGCCUUAAAGCCUGAAGGUCAAUACUGUUUAGAAUGUUCAAUCAAAUGGCAUCUAUUCUUAUCUUCAAAGCAAAUAGCUUUCAGACCAUACAUCCAUGGACAUGGAUAUCCUUUCUUUCAGUGCUUGUUUCCUCAUCAUCUUCUCCAAAGCUUCCAGCGCACUCGACAAGAUUUCUCCGUCUGAGUCACUCACUGAUGGCACGACCUUGGUCUCUAGUGAUGGAAGCUUUGUAUUGGGUUUCUUCACUCCGGGGAGUUCCAAGAAUCGUUACUUGGGAAUUUGGUACAAUAACAUCCCCAUGCAAACUGUUGUAUGGGUUGCAAACAGGAUAAAUCCGAUAAAUGACACCACUGGCUUGCCGCAGAUAGAAAGCACUGGCAGAGUCGUGCUUCUAGGUCAGAACCAAACAACUGUUUGGUCAAUUAAUUCCACAGAAGCAGCUCAGAAUCCGAUUCUGCAGCUCCUGGAUUCAGGCAGUCUUGUUGGCAGAGAUGGAAAAGAUGGUGAUUCAGAGAACUACUUGUGGCAAAGCUUUGAUUAUCCAACUGAUACAAUGUUACCAGGGAUGAAGAUUGGUUGGGACCUGAUAACUAAUUUAAAUCGAAGAUUAGCAGCAUGGAAGAACUCAGAUGAUCCAUCUCCUGGGGACCAUACUUAUGUGGUGGAACUCCAAGGCAAUCCAGAGGUGGUGCUGCGGAAAGGCUCAGAAAAGUACCAUCACAGUGGCCUAUGGAAUGGCGAUGGAUUUAGUGGUGCACAAAAUUUAAGAUCAAAUCCGGUCUAUGAGUACGACUUUGUCUGGAAUGAGGAGGAGGUGUACUACGUAAAUUACCUCAAAAAUAAAUCGGUGAUGUCAAGGUUUGUUUUGAACCAAACUGAAAAGGUAAGACAGCGGUACACAUGGAACCCAGAAACUCUAACUUGGAUGUUAAUUUCAAACAUGCCAAGUGACUGUUGUGACAUACUUGGACUUUGUGGUGCAAAUGGGAACUGCGAUAAUUCCACGCUUCCAGCUUGCCAAUGUUUGAAAGCAUUCAGGCCUAAAUCGCUGGAAAGAUGGAACUCCUUAGACUGGUCUGAAGGGUGUAUACACAAUAAGCCAUUAAACUGCCAAAGCGGAGAUGGAUUUAUUAGAAUUGAGAGGGUGAAAACGCCAGAUACCUCACAUUCUUGGGUGAGCAAAAGUAUGAAUCUCGAGGAAUGCAGGGCUAAGUGCUUGCAGAACUGUUCUUGUAUGGCAUACACUAAUUUAGAUAUUAGAGGAGGAGGUAGCGGCUGCGCCAUGUGAUUUGGUGAUCUAAUUGAUAUUAAACAAUUUCAAUCAGAUGGCCAGGAUCUUUACAUCAGAGUCUCUGCUUCAGAAGCAGGUAUCAGUUUAAAAUCAGAACAUAUUCUUGUUACAGCUUGUGAUAAUUUCUUUUGGAAAUUGUUUAAUUAUAUUUGGGCUCCUUCAUCAAUAAUGAUCAUGCAGAACUGAAAAACAAGGCUAAGGCGAAGCUGGCCGUGAUAAUUGCAACACCAAUUGCUAUGUUCUUGGGGCUUCUUGUAGUCAUUUAUUACAUCCGGAGAAGGAGGAGAAAAUUAGAAGGUAAUAUCAACUAUGGUCCUCAUAAAGCAGGGGAAAGUUGGUAUUUGAUACAAAUACCAAAAUCGUUUUUGCUCACAGCAUCGCUAUCAAAUCCCUGCCCUGUUUUCAAGAAAACAGUAAUACUAAAAUUUGUCAUUUCACUUAUCAAAUUUGAUAAUAGAUGGUUUUCAAUUUUGUUUUAUGAUCUGACAAAAAGUGAGUCCAUGAACAAUUGGUUCGAUAUUUUUGGUUUUGGUGUUCAGAAGAAGCAUACAGCUUUUGUUCUUCUAACUAAAUCUCUCAAUAUGAUUAAGAAAGCGUAUUUCUAUGUUGAAUGCUAGCCUAUUUUGACUACUGUUUCAGAUGAAGUUGAAAAAAGGAUUGAAAAUGAUCAAAAGAACCAAGGCCAGAGUACAGAUAUGGAACUUGCCGUAUUCGAGCUAGGUACGAUAGCCAGAGCUACUGAUAGUUUUUCUUUUAAUAACAAGCUAGGUGAAGGAGGUUUUGGACCUGUUUAUAAGGUAAAAGUGACAACAUAUUACUACAAUGAUCUCAAUUGCAGAGAAUUCAUCUUUAUUGAAAGCUCAUCAAAAUAUUCUUAUUCUCCAGGGGACACUUGCAAUUGGACAAGAAAUUGCUGUGAAAAGACUUUCCAAGAGUUCCGGACAAGGAUUGAACGAGUUUAAAACUGAAGUAAAGUUGAUUGCCAAACUUCAGCAUCGGAAUCUUGUAAGGCUUCUUGGGUGCUGCAUUCAUGGAGGGGAGACAAUGCUGGUUUAUGAAUAUAUGCCUAACAGAAGUCUUGACUCAUUUAUUUUUGUCGGUAACCUUUCAAUUUUAUAUCUUCUGCUCUCGGCUUGUGAAAUAAUUUUCUUUUGCUGCUUCAAAAGAUCAAAUAGAUACAGUAUUAAUAUGAAUGCAGUACUUGACAGAUCAAAGAAGGUGCAAAGUAUUAGAUUGGCCCAAGCGUUUCCAAAUUAUCUGUGGGAUUGCUAGGGGACUCCUUUACCUUCAUCAAGAUUCCAGAUUGAGGAUUAUUCAUAGAGAUCUAAAAGCUAAUAAUAUUUUGCUUGAUAGUGAGAUGAACCCAAAAAUUUCAGAUUUUGGCAUGGCAAGAACUUUUGAAGGAGACCAGACUGAAGCCAAUACCAACAGAGUGGUUGGAACUUAGUAAGUCUACUUUUUCUGCAAAUUUGAUCUAUAAAUGCCCAUGAAACUCUUAUCUGACAAUGUUCUGCAGCGGUUAUAUGGCACCAGAAUAUGCUAUCGAUGGGCUGUUUUCCGUAAAAUCAGAUGUGUUUAGCUUUGGCAUAUUGUUGUUGGAGAUAAUAAGUGGAAGAAAGAAUAGAGGAUUCUAUCAUCAAAAUCAAAGCGGCAACCUUAUUGAACAUGUAAGCCUCAUUGUCAUUAUCUUUUAUUACAUAUCUUGAACUGAUGAAUGAUAAUUGCAUAUAUGUUGUAUUUAAUAAAACAAAUGAAAUUUUAAAUUUUCAUAUUACUUUAUUUUUAAAUUUUUUAAAAACAUUUACACUCUUCGUGAACUGUUUAUUAUAUUCACAACUCAUAAAUAUACACAAACUUAUAACGACAUAAUAAUUACGAUAAAAUAUUUUUUUAUUUAUCAUUAAAUCAAGAGUUUUAAUGAUACAACUCGUCUAUUUUCUUUUUCAACAUAAUGAAAACUCAUAAAAAUAUUAUUAUCUUUUUAUUAAUUAAAGUAGUAGUAGUAGGAGUAGCAUGGUACUCAUUGGCAUGUGAGCGGACGCAUUGGAGAAAAUAGCAUAAUCAAAUAAUCGAUAGUUCCUCCUGCUUGAUACUACUUUCAGCUUGAUUUUGUCAUGACAAUAAUGUUGUCUUAAUAAUAAGUAAUUAUGUCAUUCACCAUGUAUUUUUGUUGGUUUUUGGAAGUUCUCUUUAGGUUUGCUAACAUGACUGCAAAAUUAUACAUAACUAAAUAAUAUAUAUGUAUAGUAUUAUUUUUAAAAAGAAAAAAAAAGGAAAAUUGAGUUCUAUGUGCCAAAAAAAUUGAUUUUAUUUGUUGAAUAAAAUAAAAAAUAAUUAAAUAUAUAAUUAAUAAACCAUAUAUAAUUUUUUUUUAAAAAGCAUAUCUAUUAAUUAGAAAUGAUAAUUAAUUAUAUAAAUAUGUGAUUAAUAUUAAUUGAUUAACUAUUUUAAAUUAAUUACUUUAAUGAAUUAACUAAUUAAUUAAUUAACUACUUUAUUUGUAAAAUAAUUUCAAUUAAUUAAUUUAAUUCUUUAAAACUUAACUAAUUUACUAAAAAUAAAUAUUUAGUAAUUUCACAUAUUUUAAUAUAUAAAUAUUCAAUAUUCAAAUAUUAUGUUAUUUUUGUCAAGCUAUUAUUUAUUAUUUUAAGGGAUAAAGUUGAAAAAUUAAAAAUUUAUAUUAAAAAAAGAAGGUAAAUUUGAAAAUAUAAAGGUCAUUUUGUAAUACUGGGUCAGUUCUAUCGGACCCUUAGGACAUGUGAUUGCAAUUUCUUGUAAAUUCAGUUUAAAAGUCUAGAAAAGACUUAGACUUUUUGGCAUUCAUGUUGACUUUAAUUACUUGUAAAUCUCCAUGACGUACGUUUUUUCCAAGUCUAGAGAUGCAUGUUUACUUAAUUACUAGCACUUUGAGUGCUCUUGGUUUAAGUCAUACUCUUACGGUCUAGUAGUGUACGAGGCAAUUAAUUUUAGAGGUUACUUUACGAUAAAAUCAAGUGUAAAGUUCCCUGAUUUUUUGUGUAACCAAGAAUUUUAACAUCUUGGGUUUACUGAAACAGUUGGGAGCUCUACAUUGAGCGAGGGCAGACAAUAAUAUUCUGUUUCAUAGUUUUUUAAACUUAACUGCAACUUAUUUCAGUUCCUAUUUCUCAAUAAUCUUAACUUGACAGCCAUCAUGUUAGUUAAAAGAUAUUUCUAUCUCCAGGAAGAAGUUGAGGCCUAUAGAAGAGUUGUAGUCUCUGUCACGAUUGAUUAAUAAUUCCAAGGUCAAUGGAGCCAAAGUCUUGCCUUGAAGCCUGAAGAUCAAUGCUGUUUACAAUGUUCAAUCAAAUGGCAUCUCUUCUUAUCUUCCAAGCAAAAAGCUUUCAGACCAUACAUCCAUGGGCAUGGAUAUCCUUUCUUUCAGUGCUUGUUUCCUCAUCAUCUUCUCCAAAGCUUCCAACGCACUCGACAAGAUUUCUCCGUCUGAGUCACUCACUGAUGGCACGACCUUGGUCUCUAGUGAUGGAAGCUUUGUAUUGGGUUUCUUCACUCCGGGGAGUUCCAAGAAUCGUUACUUGGGAAUUUGGUACAAUAACAUCCCCAUGCAAACUGUUGUAUGGGUUGCAAACAGGAUAAAUCCGAUAAAGGACACCACUGGCUUGCUCAAGAUAGAAACCAAUGGCACAGUCGUGCUUCUAGGUCAGAACCAAACAACUGUUUGGUCAAUUAAUUCCACAGAAGCAGCUCAGAAUCCGAUUCUGCAGCUCCUGGAUUCAGGCAAUCUUGUUGUCAGAGAUGGAAAAGACGGUGAUUCAGAGAACUACUUGUGGCAAAGCUUUGAUUAUCCAACAGAUACAAUGUUAGCAGGGAUGAAGAUUGGUUGGGACCUGAGAACUGGUUUAAAUCGAAGACUAGCAGCAUGGAAGAACUCAGAUGAUCCAUCUCCUGGGGACCUUACUUAUGGGGUAGAACUCCAAGGCAAUCCAGAGAUGGUGCUGCGGAAAGGCUCAGAAAAGUACUAUCGCAGUGGACUAUGGAAUGGCAAUGGAUUUAGUGGUAACCCAAGUUUAAGAUCAAAUCCGGUCUAUGAUUUCGACUUUGUUUGGAAUGAGGAGGAGGUGUACUACAUAAAUUACCCAAAAAAUAAAUCCGUGAUGUUAAGGGUUGUUUUGAACCAAACUGAAAACCUAAGACAGCGGUACACAUGGAACCCAGAAAUUCAAACUUGGAAGUUGUUUCUCUUCCAACCAAGUGACUAUUGUGACAGACUUGGACUUUGUGGUGCAAAUGGGAACUGCGAUAAUUCCAAGCUUCCAGCUUGCCAAUGCUUGAAAGCAUUCAGGCCUAAAUCGCUGGAAAAAUGGAACUCUUCAGACUGGUCUGAUGGGUGUGUACACAAUAAGCCAUUAAACUGCCAAAGCGGAGAUGGAUUUAUUAGAAUUCAGAGGGUGAAAACGCCAGAUACCUCACAUUCUUGGGUGAACAAAAGCAUGAACCUCAAGGAAUGUAGGGCUAGGUGCUUGCAGAACUGUUCAUGUAUGGCAUACACUAAUUUAGAUAUUAGAGGAAAAGGUAGCGGCUGCGCCAUGUGGUUUGAUGAUCUAAUUGAUAUUAAACAAUUCCAAUCAUUUGGCCAAGAUCUUUACAUCAGAGUGUCUGCUUCAGAAGCAGGUAUCAGUUUAAAAUCGGAACAUAUUCUUGUUGCAGCUUGUGAUAAUUUCUUUUGGAAAUUGUUUAAUUAUAUUUGUGCUCCUUCAUCAAUAUUGAUCAUGCAGAACAGAAAAACAAGCCUAAGGCGAAGCUGGCCAUGAUAAUUGCAACACCAAUUGCUAUGUUCUUUGGGCUUCUUGUAGUCAUUUAUUACAUCAGGAGAAGAAGGAGAAAAUUAGAAGGUAACAUCGACUAUGGUCCUCAUAAAGCAGGGGAAAGUUGGUAUUUGAUACCAAUACCGAAAUCAUUUUUGCUCACAGCAGCGCUAUCAAAUCCCUGCCCUGUUUUCAAGAAAACAGUAAUUUUGAAAUUUGCCAUUUCACUUAUAUUCCCUAUCAAAUAUGAUAAUAGAUGGUUUUCAAUUUUGUUUUUUGAUCUGACAAAAGAGGGAGUCCACGAACAAUCGGUUGGAUAUUUUUGUUUUAGUGUUCAGAAGAAGCAUACAGCCUUUUUUCUUCUAUCUAAAUCUAUCAAUAUGCAUAAGAAAGCAUAUUUCUAUGUUGAAUGCUAGCCUAUUUUGACUACUGUUUCAGAUGAAGCUGAAGAAAGGGAUGAAAUGGAUCACAUGAACCAAGGCCAGAGUGAAGAUAUGGAGCUUGCUGUAUUCGAGCUAGGUACGAUGGCCAGAGCUACUGAUAAUUUUUGUUUUGAUAACAAGCUAGGUGAAGGAGGUUUUGGACCUGUUUAUAAGGUAAAGUUGACAGCAUAUUACUGAAGUGAUCUCAAGUACAGAGAAUUCAUAUUUAUUGAAAGCUCAUCUAAAUGUUCUUAUUCUCCAGGGGACACUUGCAAAUGGACAAGAAAUUGCUGUGAAAAGACUUUCAAAGAGUUCCGGACAAGGAUUGAACGAGUUUAAAACUGAGGUAAAGUUGAUUGCCAAACUUCAGCAUCGGAAUCUUGUAAGGCUUCUUGGGUGCUGCAUUCAUGGAGAGGAGAAAAUGCUGGUUUAUGAAUACAUGCCUAACGGAAGUCUUGACUCAUUUAUUUUUGGUCAGCAACCUUUCAAUUCUAUAUUUUCUGCUCUCGGCUUGUGAAAUAGUUUUAUUUUGCUGCUUCAAAAGGUCAAAUAGAUACAGAAUUAACAUGAAUGCAGUAUUUGACAGAUCAAAAAAGAUGCAAAGUAUUAGAUUGGCCCAAGCGUUUCCAAAUUAUCUGUGGGAUUGCUAGGGGACUACUCGACCUUCAUCAAGAUUCCAGAUUGAGGAUUAUUCAUAGAGAUCUAAAAGCUAGUAAUGUUUUGCUUGAUGGUGAGAUGAACCCAAAAAUUUCAGAUUUUGGCAUGGCAAGAACUUUUGGAGGAGACCAGACUGAAGCCAACACAAACAGAGUGGUUGGAACUUAGUAAGUCUACUUUUUCUGCAAAUUUGAUCUAUAGAUCCCCAUGAAAAUGCAUACUUUUAUCUGACAAUAUCCUGCAGUGGCUAUAUGGCACCAGAAUAUGCUAUCGAUGGCCUGUUUUCAGUAAAAUGAGAUGUGUUUAGCUUUGGCAUAUUGUUGUUGGAGAUAAUAAGUGGAAGAAAGAAUAGAGGAUUCUAUCAUCAAAAUCAAAGCGGUAACCUUAUUGAACAUGCAAGCCUCUUUGUCAUUAUCUUUUGUUACUUGUCUUCAACUGACAAAUGAUAAAAGAAUUUCAUUUUGCUGCAGGCAUGGAGAUUAUGGAAACAAGGCAGGCCGUUGGAUCUUGCUGAUGAUUUCUUAGCAGAGAUUAGCAAUCUGUCGCAGGUGUUACGAUGCAUCCACAUUAGCCUUUUAUGUGUACAACAGCAUCCUGAGGGGAGGCCAAGCGUGUCAUCGGUGGUUCUGAUGUUGGGAAGUGAGAAUGAAUUGCCUCUGCCUAAACAACCUGGUUUUUUGUCUCACAAGAGUCCUUUUGAAGCAGAUUCUUCAUCCGGUAACGAUGGAUCAUCUUCGAGAAACGAAAUAAGUUUUAUCACUUUUCGAGGCUCGAUAGAGGGUGAUAUGCUUCAUUAAACCUAUUAUGCUCCAAACUAUCAGUAAUGAUUCCAAUCCCACCUGAUGUUUGGGGCGUGUGCCUUUAGAUCAAAUACUAGUGAGAAAUGUUUCAGAAAUCAACGUGCAAUCAAGUACAAAUAGUAGUGUUGUAUUAUUCCAUGGAUAGAUUGAUUGAAUGACCAAACUAAAGCUUCAUACGGUUAAGUAUAACUAAAGCUUCUUACGGUUAAGAAAUACAAAUUUCAUGCAAUCUCAUCACUUAUAAGUUGCUGGCUUUUCUUGUUUUCUGCUGCAUUUGUGUAAGAUCAAGAGCCACAUAAUCUAGCCGGCUAGGGAAACUCAAUGAGUGUUAAUUAAUUAGUGUGAUAAAUGAAUCAACAAACCAACUUCAUUGUCUCUACAUUGUUCUGUGCAUAAUCAAACCUUUGUCAUCAGCAACAAGAAAAUAUCUUUCAUGACCGGGAUUCCUCAGUUCCUUUGCUUGACUCCAAAAGUGAACUUAGUAUCGUGAGACUGUAACCUCUUUUUGGGGCGCAAACGAACGAACUUCACAUACAAGAUUAGUCAAGCUAACUAGCAAUUAGAUCUUUAGCAGAGGCUACAGAUUCCGGGUUCAAAGAAGCUGGUGAGGUCUUCAACAAAGAUAUGUUGCAGUUUUCAUCUUCAUCUUUGUUUGGUCGUGGUCCAACCUCUUUGCUUCUGGGGGCUUCGACAGGCGUUGGAAGACACGUUGAUGAGGCUGUCAGGUCGCCGCGAAACAAAAGGAAAAGGGAGAGAGCGUCCUGAUGGUACGUGACUGACAGCUGAUACAAGGUUGGCUUUGUCCGGUUUCAGACAAAGAUUUGGUGGGCCCAACACGUUGGCCACAAUAUCAAACGCGAGAGUGAUAAUAGAUUGGCAAAACAAGAACACAUCUCUCACGGAUCCAUUUCAGUGAGAUAUGAAGAGGAUCUUAAAAAUAUAAGAGUGAUAAUAGAUUGGCAAAAUCAAGAACACAUCUCUCACAGGUCCAUUUCAGUGAGAUAUGAAGAUGAUCUUAAAAAAUAUAAAUAUGAAUCUUUUACUACUUAUUAGAUAUAUUUUUUAAGUAUAUAUACUAAAAGUAUAUAUAUAUAAUAAUAAUUAUAUUUUUUAUAUAUUUACACAAUAUAUAAAAUAUAUGUAUUAAAAGAUAUUAUAAGUUAAUUAAUCAUAAUUUUAUGAAUUAAUUUAACUAAUAAUAUAGAUUUAUCUUUAAUUAUAUAAAAUUAAAAAAAUAUAUAAUCGGAUUCGGAUAUCGGGUACCCAGAGGUGGUACCUGAACCCGAUACAUGUAGUAAAGUGAUUACCCGAAUCAAAUUAUAGGGUACUUUAAUUUUAUAUAACCGAAUCGGAUACCUGCGAGUACCCUGUAAUAAGAUACCCAUUGACAUCCUUAAAUAAACUUACUUAAAUUUUAUUAUUAUUUUAUUACUCUUAAUUUUUUAAAUACAUUUUUAGUAUUCAUAAACUGUUUAUUAAGUUUACAACUCAUAAGUAUAUAUAAACUUAUAAUAAUUACUAUAAAAUAUUUUUUAUUCAUAGUUAAAUCAAAAGUUUUAAUGAUACAACUUGUGUAUUUCUUUUUGAACAUUACGAAACUCAGUUGAAAAUGAUGAUCAACAUUUCAAAAAAAAAAGUGAUUAUCUUUUUAUUAAUUAAAGUAAUAGUAGGAAUAGUCAUUGGCACGUGAGUGGACCCGUUGAACCGAAAGUUCCUGCUACUUGACGCUACUUUCACCACGUAUUUUUUGGCUUUUGAAAGUUUUUUGUAGAUUUGUUGGCAUGACUUCAAAAUUAUAUGUAAUUAAAUACUAUAUAUAUAUAUAUAUGUAUAAUAUUGUUUUAAAGAAGAAAAAGAAAGGAAAAUGGAGUUCUAUGUGCCAAAAAAUUGAUUUUAUUUGUUGAAUAAAAUAAAAAAUAAUUAAAUGUAUAAUUGAUAGAUCAUAUAUAAAUUUUUUAAAAAAGAGCAUAUCUAUUAAUUAGAAAUAAUAAUUAAUUAUAUAAAUAUGUGAUUAAUAUUAAUUGAUUAACUAUUUUAAAUUAGUUACAUUAAUGAAUAAACUGAUUAAUUAGUUAAUUAAAUUAAUUAACUAACUAAUUUAUUUAUAUAAUAAUUUAAAUUAAUAAUUUAAUUCUUUAAAACUUAACUAAUUUGCUAAAAAUAAAUAUAUAUUAAUUUCACAUGUUUUAAUAUAUAAAUAUUUAGUAUUCAAAUAUUAUGUUAUUUUGUCAUGCUAUUAUUUAUUAUUUUAAGGAUAAAAUUAAAAAUUAAAAAUUUACAUUAAAAAAAAGGUAAGUUUGAAAAUAUAAAGGUAAUUUUAUAAAUUUGCAUUACAUUCUCAUACUUCCAAACCAAACACUACCAUCUAAUCUUCCAGCCAUCAUACUCCUUGCAAUAAUCACUUUUCUAUGUUAUACAAAACGUUACAAAGUUCUUCUCAUCCAUCAUAUUCCUUGCAAUUAUCAUUUUUCUAUAUAAUGCAAAACAAUGUAAAAUUCAUCCCAUCAAUCAUAUUCUCUACAAUCAUCACUUUCCAUGUUAUAUCAAAUGCUACAAAAUUCUUCCCAAUCAAUAACAUCCUUAGCAAUCGCACUACUAAAAAUCACAUUUUCAAUAAAAUAUCAAAAGACAUGAUUUAUUUUAUUAAGAACAAACUGAUUAACGUGAAAGUAGGGAAAAUUGACACGAAGUCAAUUCUAUCAUACCCUUAGGACAUGUGAUUGCAAUUUCUUGUAAAUUCAGCUUAAAAGCUGUCACGCCACGAACCCAAAAAUUUAAGACAUAACAGACAUCACAUACUUAUGAGAUAAAUCCCAUAAGCAUGUAAGGCAAUAAAUAUUAUGCUCAACAAAUGUACUAUCUCUGGUCUCUUCAAAACUUGCACUUUUCAAAACCUCAAGUUUCUAAAUAUAUAAUAUAAAUGAUUCUUCAAAAUAUACAAAUUACUCAACUAGCUAACAUCUCAUUACAAUAACUUGAAACUUAAUACUCACAUCAAAGCCUAUAAAUAUUCAAGGGUAGAUGUUAAUCUUACUAACCAAAUCUCUCGCCAAGCAAGUCUAAUCCUUAAUCAUGUGUACAUGUUGAACUCUAUAAAAAUGAUAAAGGUUAUAAGAAUGAGUACAACCACUCAGCAAGUAAUUAACAUCCCUUCAGCCGGAUUAAGCAUACUCAAAACAUUUAGGGCGAAAUUAUUAAUACACAUAUAAGUAUCAAAACAGAAUUUUGGGUAUUUUCAUUCAAAAUCAUAUAUUUCAAAAUUUCAUUUUCAAAUGACAAAAGUCAAUAUAAUUUCGCUUCAGAUAACGUAACUAAUAAAAUUUCCAAACUUUCAGAUAAUAGAACAAAACAUAAUUUUGCACUAAUUUCAUAUCUUAUUGAUCUCUUGUAACAUGUUACGACCACAUUUAACCCUCUGGCAUAGCUUAGAAAUAAAACCAUAAUUAACUCCAGUGACAUGGGUCAAAAGUAUAUCAAAAGCAACCAUUGGCCGCACUAUUUUGUAACCGAUGGUGUUGUUGAGAAAUUGAUCUCUAAUCACAAAAUACAUGUUGACAUGGCCAAUAUUUAACCCCCAUUGGUAGGGUUAGAGCACAACCAUACUAGAAGAUAAAACAUAAACAUAUAUUUUAAAUUACCCAAAUUUCAUAAAAUAAUGUAUUCACCCUCUCAAAACAUAUCUCAUGCAUAUCAAGAAUAUAAUUGUUUUAAACUAAAUAUCGACAAAGAUAGUCAUAUAUGCAUACAUUGAUGAAAAUCAUGUUUCAGAACAAAAUUGAAAUUAUAUUUCAAAAAUCAACAUAAAGAUCAUAUUUACUUGCUUAUAUUAGCAUGCUCACCCGAUUUAACAAACCAUAAGACAAUAUAUCAUAUACAAGCACAAAAAUCACAUUGAGGCUAAUUUUAGAGUGGGAAAACACUGAAUGAAUAUUAGUCACUUACCUAAUUGUCAAGUUCACUAUUAAGCAGCAAUUCAGAAAAUCCUGUUAGUAUCGUUGCUUUCUUGAAUAGAUUUUUUCCUUUUUCUGCCUUCUUUUUCUUCUCUCGAAUUAGUUUCUCUCAAAUGGUCUUUUUUUUUUUACUAUUUUUCUUUAAUGUGAUAAUGAAAACUAACUUAAAAACCCCUUCUUCUAUACUUUCUUUAUUAAUAAACCCAAAGGUCAUAUCUACAAUUAUAAAAAGUUAGACUUAUAUUUUAUUUAUUUAUUUAGUGUAGACUAUAACUUAGUACGUACUAAUUUUUUUACACAAUUAAUUAAGUAAACAAAAUUUUUAGGGGUAUUACAUACUCCCCCACUUAAAAGAAUUUGGUCCUCAAAUUAAAAAUUCAAUAAACUUCAAGUCUUGUCAACUUUUAAGCAAAUAUUACAUACAUUCCUCCUCUAAAAGAAUUUGUCUUCGUAAUCUAAAAAUAUUCCAAUGAAUCUUCACAUGAUCUUUUACGCAGGAACCAAAUUCAACAUAAUUAUAAAUCUAAAUAUUAUAUAGCUAACUAAUUAGACAUCUCAAAACUAGAAAUCUCAAUUCUUAUCCAAGGCAAGAUGCAAUUAGAAAAGUACAAAACUUUUUUAGAACUCCAUAAACUCCAAACAUGCAAAUUCAAAGAUUUCAAUGUUGUCUUGACAACAAACUUGUCAUGACCUAAAUUUCGGGCCAUGACCAGCGCAUGGGCCCAAUGGACGUAGUCCACUAAGCCCAAGCAAGCCUACUAUUUAUCUUGCUCAUUACUCCAUUAAAUAUUGCUAAGUCACAUUUUAUAACUUUGGAUCAAAAUGGUGAUGGACAUUGCCAACUCGUACUGGCGCUACUCAUUUAAAAUAUACAUACAUUAUCUACAUCAUUUAUUCUAAUAAUUUACAUUGGGUUUACCUAUACACAAUAAAAAAAAGAGUACUCGACUUUCAACGGAGAGACUCGGACGAAUAUACAACUACUGAAUGUCGAGACACCUACCAAGGGUCGAAUGUAUGAAGACACCUCGACUUAGCUACCAGCUGUCUCGUGAUCUGAAAACAUGAAGUUGAAAACGGUGAGUAUAAACCCAGUGAGUGAACAAGGAAGGGAACAAGCAACAGUAAGGGAAGAUUUAAAAAUCAUGAUGCACUUAUUUCAAAACAAUGCAAUUUAAUUUAGUGCUUAUCAAAAGCCCUCAAGAAACCCCUACCAUUAAAUCACUUAAUGUAAAGGGUCCAUGCUCGACUAUGGUACCAAAGAAGUGGAAAAUAGCGCGACAAUCGAUCAAGAUACUAAGCAAAACAGAAGGUUUUUCGUUGCAGCAAGAUUCAAGCCAUAAAACACAAACUUUCUCGCUGCAGCGAGAACCAUGUCUGGUGAAACCCUUGAAACUCAAAGGUUUCUCACUGCAGGAAGAAUGAAUCUCGCUGCAGUGAGAACAGAGCAACAAGAGAAAAGUUUCCCCUCACUCAAUAAAAAGCCAUCUUGCUAAACCAACAAAAUCAACAUAAAGCACAUGAAAAUUCUCAAAGUGCAAUGUAUCAAAUUUCACAUACAUUUCAAUCAUAUAUCAUAUUCAUGAGCCUUCAUUUCAUAAGCAUAGAUAUGCAUAAUUACAUAGAUAAACAUCAAUAUCAUCAUAAUCAUACCCGACUCAUGUGCAUCCCCCCACAUCGUGCACAUAGCUGGUGCCAUCGUAUGCAUCCUCCCACAUAGUGCACAGUCAGUGCCAUCGUGUACAUCCCCCCACAUCAUGCACACGGGCACUAUCAUCAUAAUCACACCUGGCUCAUGUAUAUCCCCCCCACAUCAUGCACAUAGCCGGCGCCAUCGUGUGCAUCCCCCCACAUCGUGCACAGUCAGUGCCAUCGUGUACAUCCCCACACAUCAUGCACACGGGCACUAUCAUCAUCCACCUCCCUCACUACGCCAUCACUAGCAUGUGCAUUUCCCCACAUUGUGCACAGUCAGUGUUAUAAUCAUCAUACACAAUAUGAAUUAUCAUGCACACCACACACACACACACAUAUAUAUACACCACCAAAAUGUAAUAGUGCAUAAAUCCAUAACCAAUCACAUGUCACAUCAUAAAGGCAAUUUUCAAAAGCUUGUUCCCAAGGCACUUGUUUUUAGGAAAAGCUAGAUAAACCAUUCAAAUGUUUGUGCAAUUUUAUUCAUAUUCCCAAAACAAGUUUUGAAACGCAGUUCACUCACCAGUAGUAGUUGAGUCUUUAGCCAACUCGAACCUCCCUAAUGGUCCAAUUGGGAUAAUGGGGCUUCGUUGGAACUUACCAUCAAAUUAAUAUCACCAUAAUGUCAAUUCAUACUUAUAAACCCUAAAAGCUACCCCUUAGCUAGCUUUCAAUUGCCAUUUUAAAUGGCUAUCUAUUCCCACUAUCCUAGUCACAAUAGAGUCAAUACACAAUCUCAACAAUAAACCCACAAUUCAAUCAUUAAACAUUAUCAACACUUAAAACCCAAUGCUAAUUUACUACUCACCUUGAUAGUUUAGUAAACUUUGAAUUUCUUUCCAACAAUUCCCAAGCUAUUAUAGAGCUUUUUCUCUCUUUCUCUAUCUAAACACCUAGCUAGUGAGAGAAAAUAUGGAAACAAGAUUUUUCAAGGGUUUUAAAGAGAGAGAGUGGAAGAGCAUAAGGAUUUAUGAAAGGAUGUACCAAAAGCAUGAAAAUUUAAGCUAAUUUGAAAGAGGUUAUAAAGCUUGGUAUCAAGCUUCCAUGGAGGAUGGAAGCAGCGUGAAAAGGAAAAGAAGGAGAAGAUGAAAGCUGCUGGAAAAGUAUGUGAGAAGCUGCUGGAAGCAAGAUGCUUAUAGCCCAAGCUUAUCCAAUUCACUUAGAAAUUAUGAAAAUGCCCUUUAGCAAGUUAACUCGUUUUUCUCCCAUCCUUUGUGCAAUCUUUUUAUUUUUUUUGACACUAGGACAAGGUCCACAAUGAUCUAAACUACUCGGGUUUACGAAAACUUAAAAUUUUGACUCGAGAUGCAAAAUGACCAUUUUACCCUUUUUGUUUCCCUCUAUUUUAACUUAGUCCUCCCAUCACUCAUUUAACUCUAAUUUCCCUCUAUUACUUUCUUCUACACAUGCACAAAACAAGGUAUUAAGUUUGUACUCCAACGCGGUGUCAUCAUAAUAUUUAAAAUAUUUACUUGCUCGUGUUAUCUUUACUUAAUAAAGAUACGCGACCCCAUUAACGUCAUUUUUCUCCAAAAUUCUUUCAUUCUUUUUCUCCUCCACUUAGAUUGACCAUAUACUCAUUCUUCAUGAAAAUUUUUGACACUGAACAAAAUAUUAAUUGUCACGACCCGGAACUCCUAUCGGGCCCGUGACAACCGCUGCGACGUCCCGAUAAGCACUCAUUACCCCGAAUACCGNNNNNNNNNNNNNNNNNNNNNNNNNNNNNNNNNNNNNNNNNNNNNNNNNNNNNNNNNNNNNNNNNNNNNNNNNNNNNNNNNNNNNNNNNNNNNNNNNNNNNNNNNNNNNNNNNNNNNNNNNNNNNNNNNNNNNNNNNNNNNNNNNNNNNNNNNNNNNNNNNNNNNNNNNNNNNNNNNNNNNNNNNNNNNNNNNNNNNNNNNNNNNNNNNNNNNNNNNNNNNNNNNNNNNNNNNNNNNNNNNNNNNNNNNNNNNNNNNNNNNNNNNNNNNNNNNNNNNNNNNNNNNNNNNNNNNNNNNNNNNNNNNNNNNNNNNNNNNNNNNNNNNNNNNNNNNNNNNNNNNNNNNNNNNNNNNNNNNNNNNNNNNNNNNNNNNNNNNNNNNNNNNNNNNNNNNNNNNNNNNNNNNNNNNNNNNNNNNNNNNNNNNNNNNNNNNNNNNNNNNNNNNNNNNNNNNNNNNNNNNNNNNNNNNNNNNNNNNNNNNNNNNNNNNNNNNNNNNNNNNNNNNNNNNNNNNNNNNNNNNNNNNNNNNNNNNNNNNNNNNNNNNNNNNNNNNNNNNNNNNNNNNNNNNNNNNNNNNNNNNNNNNNNNNNNNNNNNNNNNNNNNNNNNNNNNNNNNNNNNNNNNNNNNNNNNNNNNNNNNNNNNNNNNNNNNNNNNNNNNNNNNNNNNNNNNNNNNNNNNNNNNNNNNNNNNNNNNNNNNNNNNNNNNNNNNNNNNNNNNNNNNNNNNNNNNNNNNNNNNNNNNNNNNNNNNNNNNNNNNNNNNNNNNNNNNNNNNNNNNNNNNNNNNNNNNNNNNNNNNNNNNNNNNNNNNNNNNNNNNNNNNNNNNNNNNNNNNNNNNNNNNNNNNNNNNNNNNNNNNNNNNNNNNNNNNNNNNNNNNNNNNNNNNNNNNNNNNNNNNNNNNNNNNNNNNNNNNNNNNNNNNNNNNNNNNNNNNNNNNNNNNNNNNNNNNNNNNNNNNNNNNNNNNNNNNNNNNNNNNNNNNNNNNNNNNNNNNNNNNNNNNNNNNNNNNNNNNNNNNNNNNNNNNNNNNNNNNNNNNNNNNNNNNNNNNNNNNNNNNNNNNNNNNNNNNNNNNNNNNNNNNNNNNNNNNNNNNNNNNNNNNNNNNNNNNNNNNNNNNNNNNNNNNNNNNNNNNNNNNNNNNNNNNNNNNNNNNNNNNNNNNNNNNNNNNNNNNNNNNNNNNNNNNNNNNNNNNNNNNNNNNNNNNNNNNNNNNNNNNNNNNNNNNNNNNNNNNNNNNNNNNNNNNNNNNNNNNNNNNNNNNNNNNNNNNNNNNNNNNNNNNNNNNNNNNNNNNNNNNNNNNNNNNNNNNNNNNNNNNNNNNNNNNNNNNNNNNNNNNNNNNNNNNNNNNNNNNNNNNNNNNNNNNNNNNNNNNNNNNNNNNNNNNNNNNNNNNNNNNNNNNNNNNNNNNNNNNNNNNNNNNNNNNNNNNNNNNNNNNNNNNNNNNNNNNNNNNNNNNNNNNNNNNNNNNNNNNNNNNNNNNNNNNNNNNNNNNNNNNNNNNNNNNNNNNNNNNNNNNNNNNNNNNNNNNNNNNNNNNNNNNNNNNNNNNNNNNNNNNNNNNNNNNNNNNNNNNNNNNNNNNNNNNNNNNNNNNNNNNNNNNNNNNNNNNNNNNNNNNNNNAACUUUCUCUCUCUAAACCCAUAUGAUCAGAUUUGAAUCCAUCAUCAAAACACAUAAUUUAACCAUGGAAAAUAAGGAGAAAUGCAUGGAAAUGAUAAAUCUUAAGCUAAGCUUGAAAAAUCAUACCUUUAAACACUUGAUUCCUUGAAAAAUCACACUUUUUCUUUGAAUUUUCUCACUCUAGGGUUUGUUCUUAUUUCUCUCUCUCUCCUGCUGGUUUUGGCUGACCAUCCCAAUGAAGAAUUCAGGAAUUUUCAAGCCUUUUAAUAGGCUUAAUAAAAUAUUAUUAUUUUAUUUACCUUUUGAAUUUUUAUUAUUUUAUUUUUUUCUAGCCAUCCUUUUUACUUUCUUUUUCUACCACUCAAUCCUUUUCACUUAUCCAUGUCUUCCAUGAAAUUCUAGACUUUUUCAAAGUUUUGGUGGAGUAAAUUUUUAAAAAUUACACUUUUGCCCCCGUAAAGUGAAAAAUUACAUUUUUACCCAAAAAAACUGAAAAAUUACCCAUAAACAUAUUUUUCAUCCCUUAUACUCAUACCAUUCUUCAAUUUGUCAAAUGUGAUCUAAAUUCUCUCAAAAUCUCAAAUUUUGUUCGCGGGUGGAAAAAUUACAAUUUUGCCCAUAGAUAGUGAAAAUUCUGGUUUGACUCCAAAUUGAUCCUCGAACUCCUAAUUACCAUUUUGAGUCAUCUCUGAACUGUAAAACUCUUAAUUUCACCUUAAAAUUUCUAUUUGAACUAGUUCGAGGCUUAAUCGACUUAAUGAUACCAUUAGGAGCAAUAUCGUCUUUUAACGAUUUCUCGAACGUCCUAAUAUAUAAACAUUCUAUCAAGCAUGUGAAUGACAUUAUAAUUAUUUUACAAAGCAGGGUUUGACAUUAAUAUUUUAAUAUUAUUUUAUUAAUAAAAUAUUAUUUUAUUUCAAAAAUUUCCUCUUACCUCCUCUUGUCUCCUUGGCACCCAACAUAUCUUAUUAUGCCUAUUUAGACCUUAAAAUACCAUAAAACCUUCUUCUACAUGACGUUUUUUCUAAGUCUAGAAAUGCAUGUUUGCUUAAUUACUUGCAACUUGAAAGGUCUUGGUUUUAGUCAUAGUCUUACGGUCUAGUAGUGUACAAGGAAAUCAUUUUUAGAUGUUACUUUAUGAUAGAAUCAAAUGUAAAGUUCCCUGAUUUUUUGGGUAACAAAGAAUUUUAACAUCUUGGAUUUACCGGAGUAGUUGGGAUCUCUACAUUAAGCUAAAGAUGUUUCCAUCAUGUUAGUUAAAGAUACUUCCAUCAUGUUAGUUCGUAGUCUCUGUCACGAUCGAUGAAUAAUUCCAAGGUCAAUCGAGCCAAAGUCUUGCCUAGAAGCCUGGAGUUUAAUGCUGUUUAGAAUGUUCAAUCAAAUGGCGUCUAUUCUUAUCUUCUAAGCAAAAAGCUUUCAGACUAUACAUCCAUGGACAUGGAUAUCCUUUCUUUCAGUGCUUGUUUCCUCAUCAUCUUCUCAAAAGCUUCCAACGCACUCGACAAGAUUUCUCCUACUGAACCACUCAUUGAUGGCAAGACCUUGGUCUCUAGUGAUGGAAGCUUUAUAUUGGGUUUCUUCACUCCGGGGAGUUCUAAGAAUCGUUACUUGGGAAUUUGGUACAAUAACAUCCCCAUGCAAACUGUGGUUUGGGUUGCAAACAGGAUAAACCCGAUAAAUGACACCACUGGCUUGCUGAGGAUAGAAACCACUGGCAGAGUCGUGCUUCUAGGUCAGAACCAAACAACUGUUUGGUCAACUAAUUCCACAAAAGCAGCUCAGAAUCCGAUUCUGCAGCUCCUGG
RNAcentral lists this long non-coding RNA (32628 nucleotides) under Theobroma cacao (cacao). RNAcentral's name for it is "long non-coding RNA (TCAC_LNC004248)". Lineage: Eukaryota; Viridiplantae; Streptophyta; Magnoliopsida; Malvales; Malvaceae. The record is from RNAcentral.